AUUGAACGCUGGCGGCAUGCCUUACACAUGCAAGUCGAACGGCAGCAUAGGAGCUUGCUCCUGAUGGCGAGUGGCGAACGGGUGAGUAAUAUAUCGGAACGUGCCCUAGAGUGGGGGAUAACUAGUCGAAAGACUAGCUAAUACCGCAUACGAUCUACGGAUGAAAGUGGGGGAUCGCUAGACCUCAUGCUCCUGGAGCGGCCGAUAUCUGAUUAGCUAGUUGGUGGGGUAAAAGCUCACCAAGGCGACGAUCAGUAGCUGGUCUGAGAGGACGACCAGCCACACUGGGACUGAGACACGGCCCAGACUCCUACGGGAGGCAGCAGUGGGGAAUGUUGGACAAUGGGGGCAACCCUGAUACAGCAAUGCCGCGUGAGUGAAGAAGGCCUUCGGGUUGUAAAGCUCUUUUGUCAGGGAAGAAACGGUUCUGGAUAAUACCUGGGACUAAUGACGGUACCUGAAGAAUAAGCACCGGCUAACUACGUGCCAGCCGCCGCAGUAA
Molecule: ribosomal RNA, 502 nt
Filed under: uncultured bacterium
Lineage: Bacteria
Description: partial 16S ribosomal RNA
Rfam family: Bacterial small subunit ribosomal RNA
Source: RNAcentral